AUAGCGUACACGGGCCUCCGCCUCUCCCCUUCUGCUUUGCUUCCGGUAACGAACCCUAGCCCACUCACCGCGGCGCGACUCACAGGGCAGCCGAUCUCGCGCUCCGGUCGGCGGCGGCGGCGGCGGCGAGAUGGUGGUGGUGGGGGGCGGCAGCGGGAAUGCGUGGGCGAAGGAGAUGACCCUCCGCCGGAGGAUGGCCAGCAUAUUCAACAAGACGCGGGAGCACUUCCCGUCGCUGAAAGACUACAACGAUUACCUGGAGGAGGUGGAGGAUAUGAGAAUCGACGUCGAGGCGAUCGAGGCUAGGAUUGCCAGGUAUCAGCAGGAAAAUGCUGAGCAGAUAUACUUGUCGCGAGCUAAAAGGGCUGAAGAUCUUGCCGCGGCGCUUAAAGCAAGCAGAAUGGUCACUGUGAAGGCUGGCCCGAGUGAUACGGCGGCUGGAACCUCCCAAGGUAUUAGUGGUGGAGCAGGAGUUCAAGGCCAGUAUGCACCUGCCGCCGUUCCUGGUGGGUUGAAUCAGCCUCGUCCGACUGGUAACGCCCCGCAGCCAAUCGGUGGUUCAUCCGAUCCUCUACAUGGAUAUGAUGAGGAGACCAUGCGACUACGUGCGGAGAGAGGAGCUCGGGCAGGUGGUUGGACUGCUGAGUUGGGCAGGCGAAGAGCACUGGAGGAGGCAUUUAACAGCAUAUUCGUAUAAAGGUUAGAUCAGGCGCAGCAACUGUCCCAGAGGAUGCAUGGUUAACUUAUUACGACCCUUAUACCACAGCGCGUACUUGUCCAGCUAUAACCUGUUGGUUGUGGCCUACAUUUUGGACAUCAAGCAGAAGGGAUUGAAGUGUCUGAUCAGCAUCAAGCGGCCCAGUGGUCGUCCCUUUUUGCGAGUCGAGAAGUUGCAUAUUGAUGUACCUAUGAUCAUGCCAAUGACUGAAACUUUUGUCAUUGCCCCUCUGUAAUGGCAUGAUUUUUGUUGUUCGUCAAACUUCGGCUCCUUUUGAAAUAUAAUAUGAGUGCUAUCAGUAU
This 1020-nucleotide ribosomal RNA is filed under the name Triticum aestivum (bread wheat). RNAcentral describes it as "partial small subunit ribosomal RNA". Lineage: Eukaryota; Viridiplantae; Streptophyta; Magnoliopsida; Poales; Poaceae. The record is from RNAcentral.